GGUAGCGUGGCCGAGUGGUCUAAGGCGCUGGAUUUAGGCUCCAGUCUCUUCGGAGGCGAGGGUUCAAAUCCCUCCGCUGCCA
Molecule: transfer RNA, 82 nt
Filed under: Albula glossodonta (roundjaw bonefish)
Lineage: Eukaryota; Metazoa; Chordata; Actinopteri; Albuliformes; Albulidae
Rfam family: tRNA
About the family: Transfer RNA (tRNA) molecules are approximately 80 nucleotides in length. Their secondary structure includes four short double-helical elements and three loops (D, anti-codon, and T loops).
Source: Rfam by way of RNAcentral